Molecule: transfer RNA, 72 nt
Filed under: Danionella translucida
Lineage: Eukaryota; Metazoa; Chordata; Actinopteri; Cypriniformes; Danionidae
Also listed under: 1 other name
Rfam family: tRNA
About the family: Transfer RNA (tRNA) molecules are approximately 80 nucleotides in length. Their secondary structure includes four short double-helical elements and three loops (D, anti-codon, and T loops). Further hydrogen bonds mediate the characteristic L-shaped molecular structure. tRNAs have two regions of fundamental functional importance: the anti-codon, which is responsible for specific mRNA codon recognition, and the 3' end, to which the tRNAs corresponding amino acid is attached (by aminoacyl-tRNA synthetases). tRNAs cope with the degeneracy of the genetic code in two manners: having more than one tRNA (with a specific anti-codon) for a particular amino acid; and 'wobble' base-pairing, i.e. permitting non-standard base-pairing at the 3rd anti-codon position.
Source: Rfam by way of RNAcentral
UCCCUGAUGGUCUAGUGGUCAGGAUUCGGCGCUCUCACUGCUGCGGCCCGGGUUCGAUUCCUGGUCAGGGAA